Hydra vulgaris (swiftwater hydra) is the source of this 451-nucleotide non-coding RNA. NCBI's taxonomy places the organism in Eukaryota, Metazoa, Cnidaria, Hydrozoa, Anthoathecata, Hydridae. The record is from RefSeq and is a predicted model, not a curated record.
UUUUAUAGACUAUUUACAAGUACCCUGUUGACACAGUUCAACUUAAAAAGUUUUGGUGGAAAGAUUGCUUUAUCAUCAUCCAAAUUAUAUGGUGUAAUGGAAGAAGUUGUAAAGAGAAGAUUUAAAAGAGUUUCAAAUGCUGAUAUCAAAAAUGCUCCAUCGCGGAAAAAUACAAAUUAAAUGACAACUAAUUCAUUUGCUGUUUUGUUGCUGUUUUUUUUCUAAAGAUUCUUUUUAUGGAAAGUAAUAUUAAUAAAAUGAAGCCAGACGCUUUUGAUCCAACAGUAUUAGAUAACUCCAGUCCAUCAGAUCCUACAGUUUUAAAUUAGUUCUUGACCCUUGUUUGUCAUUUGUAUAUACUGAGAACAGUAAGUAUUCGCUUGAUCUAGAAAGUACUGCAACAUGUAUAUGUCAAAGUGGUUUUGUUUAUGAUCGCAUUAAAAAUUCAUGC